AGAGUUUGAUCAUGGCUCAGGAUGAACGCUGGCGGCGUGCCUAACACAUGCAAGUCGAACGGGUGUGGUAUCAGGGAAAAGGGGUUUACUUCUUUGACCAGAUAACACACUAGUGGCGGACGGGUGAGUAACGCGUGGAUAACCUGCCUUAUACAGGGGGAUAACAGGGAGAAAUUCUUGCUAAUACCCCAUAGGUAUGUCUGACGCAUGUUGGACAUAUUAAAGCUUUGGCGGUAUAAGAUGGGUCCGCGUCUGAUUAGCUAGUUGGUGGGGUAAAGGCCCACCAAGGCGACGAUCAGUAGCCGGCUUGAGAGAGUGGACGGCCACAUUGGGACUGAGACACGGCCCAAACUCCUACGGGAGGCAGCAGUGGGGAAUAUUGCACAAUGGGGGAAACCCUGAUGCAGCGACGCCGCGUGAAGGAAGAAGGUCUUCGGAUCGUAAACUUCUAUCAGCAGGGAAGAAGGAAGUGACAGUACCUGAGUAAGAAGCCCCGGCUAACUACGUGCCAGCAGCCGCGGUAAUACGUAGGGGGCGAGCGUUAUCCGGAAUUACUGGGUGUAAAGGGUGCGUAGGCGGUAUGGCAAGUCAGUUGUGAAACCCCCUGGCUCAACCAGGGGCUUGCAAUUGAAACUGUCAUACUAGAGUGCAGGAGAGGAAAGCGGAAUUCCUAGUGUAGCGGUGAAAUGCGUAGAUAUUAGGAAGAACACCAGUGGCGAAGGCGGCUUUCUGGACUGUAACUGACGCUGAGGCACGAAAGCGUGGGGAGCGAACAGGAUUAGAUACCCUGGUAGUC
Molecule: ribosomal RNA, 796 nt
Filed under: uncultured bacterium
Lineage: Bacteria
Description: bacterial SSU rRNA
Rfam family: Bacterial small subunit ribosomal RNA
Source: RNAcentral